Long non-coding RNA from Monopterus albus (swamp eel), 1156 nucleotides. RefSeq lists it as uncharacterized. The transcript has 4 exons. Lineage: Eukaryota; Metazoa; Chordata; Actinopteri; Synbranchiformes; Synbranchidae. The record is from RefSeq and is a predicted model, not a curated record.
UAUCCUGUGUAGCUUUACUUGGGGUUUCCAGACAAUAUCCAGCAGUUUGCGCUGACGAUGGAUCUCUUCCUCGUGCUGGAGGAUAAUACUUUCAAAGGCCCCCACUAUUUCUUCAGCGGCUGCAGUUAGGCGCUCGUUGAUAAACCGUCUAAGGUCCUGAAUUGAAGACAUUGUUGAUUUGUUACAAUUAAAAUAUUUAUCUGAAAUACGACAAAUAUUUUCAACUAAACCCUAAUCCAAAUUUAAGGAUAAUGGCGCCUCUUUUUCUUCUUUUUUUUCUAACUUCCGCCGGGUGUCACACUGUGAAGUUCCGGUAGUGAAAAUAGUCUCGUUCGAGAUGAACUGUACUUCGCCUUGGACGCGGACAAGAAUUUUACCUGUUGCACAUACUAAAGUGGAAGAUAAUGAGACAGACGUAUCCUCAAGUCACCAUAAUAAAUAAUACAUUUUGUUUUGCAUUAACUGGGUGCCUGAGGUGCCGUGGCACAAGAACAGCUGUAGGGUGAGUCACAUUCACAUCUCCUGUUCCCAUCAGCUUACAGCUUAAUAGAUACAGCCUCUUUAAAUUAAUGUAACAAACAGAUGAAUGAGUGAACAUACUGAUUUUUUCUUCAGUCCAGUUCAGGCUCACUAGGGCAGCUCUGCUCUUUAUUUACCUGCAGUCAUGAUGAAUCUUAGUGUCAAAGCUCCACUGAUGACGGCUUUUUAUAGUCAUCAUCACAGGCUUAGCUCUGAGUUAACUGAAGCUUUAAUGAUGUCUGAAAACACUGGGAAGGGUGUCAAAUCAAUCUGAGCACAACAAUUCUUUAAUGUUUUUAUUUCCACAGUAAGUAAGGCUGCACAAAGUUUAGUUAAUAAUAAUAUUAAGACAUACUGUGUGCUUUUUUUCUAUAUGUGUACAUGAAGCCACAACUAACUGUUACUGCUUUGGUGUCUGCUGUAUACGUGGCUGUAGCAUAACUGAUCUAGUCGUUUCAUACCAGUCACUGCUUCUCUUUUUUUGGAUCAAGAGAAGUCCAUCAUGUGAAUGUCUCUCCGUGACUGGACUGAAAACAAGACUGGGAUUCAUCUCCAGCUGGCCAUCUCUGACCCUCCACCUCCAGCGCUGACAUCUGUCUGGAGCGAGAACACAGCGCAGCCACAGGCAGGACUCCUG